RNAcentral lists this small RNA (113 nucleotides) under Lonsdalea britannica. The record is from RNAcentral. Lineage: Bacteria; Pseudomonadati; Pseudomonadota; Gammaproteobacteria; Enterobacterales; Pectobacteriaceae.
AGCCUGAUCACCACGAUUAUUAUUACCAUCACCGAUACGAUGUAUUGCGGUGCGGGCUGACGCGUAAAGAAGAAUCCAAAAAGGCCCGCACUUCACAGUGCGGGUUUUUUUUU